GUUCUACAAAGCAGCUCUCCCCAUUUUGCUCCGUGGCAACAGGCACGACUGCAACAUAGGCAGGAAUAGGCAGCACCUGCAGGUCCCAAACCCUUAACCGGUUUUUAGGUAACACCAAUUUUUUUAAUGUAGUGGCUUUCCCUUAACCCAUAAC
Oxyura jamaicensis (ruddy duck) is the source of this 154-nucleotide long non-coding RNA. RefSeq lists it as uncharacterized. NCBI's taxonomy places the organism in Eukaryota, Metazoa, Chordata, Aves, Anseriformes, Anatidae. The record is from RefSeq and is a predicted model, not a curated record. The transcript is spliced from 3 exons.